This is a long non-coding RNA of Acyrthosiphon pisum (pea aphid), 227 nucleotides long. RefSeq lists it as uncharacterized. NCBI's taxonomy places the organism in Eukaryota, Metazoa, Arthropoda, Insecta, Hemiptera, Aphididae. The transcript is spliced from 2 exons. The record is from RefSeq and is a predicted model, not a curated record.
AGAAUUGAUAAUAAUGUGCAUGGAUCAGGGUGGUUUUGAUCCGCUCGUGAAAUAUUAGACACUAAUUGAUAAUUUUUAUUGAUAAAUAUUAAAUGGUAAUAAUAAUUUAAAACGUGCAAUUUACUUUGGUGGAAGUAAUUGGUAAAGAAGGUAUUGCAUUUUCAGAUUUACAAAAUGGCAGCUGAAGAAUUACAGAAACAGUUCCAAACAGAACUGGAUGCUUUUAA